RNAcentral lists this unclassified non-coding RNA (354 nucleotides) under soil metagenome. RNAcentral's name for it is "partial contains 5.8S ribosomal RNA, internal transcribed spacer 2, and large subunit ribosomal RNA". The stretch from base 1 to 120 matches the Rfam family "5.8S ribosomal RNA", at positions 35 to 154 of the family's 154-position model. The record is from RNAcentral.
GAUGAAGAACGUAGCGAAAUGCGAUAAGUAGUGUGAAUUGCAGAAUUCAGUGAAUCAUCGAAUCUUUGAACGCACAUUGCGCCUCCUGGUAUUCCGGGAGGCAUGCCUGUUCGAGCGUCAUUAAAAUCACUCAAGCUUAGGUUUACCUAUUGCUUGGUCUUGGAGAUGGAAGCCAAUUCAUUGGAAUCCUCUUCGAAAUCCAAUGGCGGAGACCCUUGCUCUCCCAAGUGUAGUAAUAACUUAUGUCACUGAAGGAAGCGAGAAAUCUUCCGCCGUAACCCCCAUAUUUUCUAUGAUUGACCUCGGAUCAGGUAGGGAUACCCGCUGAACUUAAGCAUAUCAAUAAGCGGAGGA